RNAcentral lists this ribosomal RNA (424 nucleotides) under uncultured bacterium. RNAcentral's name for it is "bacterial SSU rRNA". It matches the Rfam family "Bacterial small subunit ribosomal RNA", at positions 355 to 796 of the family's 1533-position model. The record is from RNAcentral.
UAACGAAUCUUCCGCAAUGCACGAAAGUGUGACGGAGCGACGCCGCGUGUGGGACGAAGCCCUUCGGGGUGUAAACCACUGUCAGGGGAUAGAAAGUUCUGAUCAUCCCCAGAGGAAGGCACGGCUAACUCUGUGCCAGCAGCCGCGGUAAGACAGAGGUGCCAAGCGUUAGGCGGAAUCACUGGGCUUAAAGCGUGUGUAGGCGGAUCGUUAAGUACCUUGUGAAAUCCCACGGCUUAACCGUGGAACUGCUUGGUAUACUGGCGGUCUUGAGCCAACUAGGGGCUAUCGGAACAAGUGGUGGAGCGGUGAAAUGCGUAGAUAUCACUUGGAACGCCAAUGGUGAAAACAGAUAGCUGGGGUUGUGCUGACGCUGAGACACGAAAGCCAGGGGAGCAAACGGGAUUAGAUACCCCCGUAGUCC